This 353-nucleotide unclassified non-coding RNA is filed under the name soil metagenome. RNAcentral's name for it is "partial contains 5.8S ribosomal RNA, internal transcribed spacer 2, and large subunit ribosomal RNA". The stretch from base 1 to 120 matches the Rfam family "5.8S ribosomal RNA", at positions 35 to 154 of the family's 154-position model. The record is from RNAcentral.
GAUGAAGAACGUAGCGAAAUGCGAUAAGUAAUGUGAAUUGCAGAAUUCAGUGAAUCAUCGAAUCUUUGAACGCACAUUGCGCCCGCCAGUAUUCUGGCGGGCAUGCCUGUCCGAGCGUCAUUUCAACCCUCGAACCCCUCCGGGGGGUCGGCGUUGGGGAUCGGCCCUCCCUUAGCGGGUGGCCGUCUCCGAAAUACAGUGGCGGUCUCGCCGCAGCCUCUCCUGCGCAGUAGUUUGCACACUCGCAUCGGGAGCGCGGCGCGUCCACAGCCGUUAAACACCCAACUUUUAAGAGUUGACCUCGAAUCAGGUAGGAAUACCCGCUGAACUUAAGCAUAUCAAUAAGCGGAGGA